Molecule: ribosomal RNA, 253 nt
Filed under: uncultured bacterium
Lineage: Bacteria
Description: partial 16S ribosomal RNA
Rfam family: Bacterial small subunit ribosomal RNA
Source: RNAcentral
UACAGAGGGUGCAAACGUUGCUCGGAAUUAUUGGGCGUAAAGCGCGUGUAGGCGGUUUUGUAAGUCGACUGUGAAAGCCCUCGGCUCAACCGGGGAAGUGCAGUCGAUACUGCAAAACUGGAGUGCCGGAGAGGAUAGCGGAAUGCCCAGUGUAGAGGUGAAAUUCGUAGAUAUUGGGUAGAACACCGGUGGCGAAGGCGGCUAUCUGGAAGGUAACUGACGCUGAGACGCGAAAGCGUGGGGAUCAAACAGG